UACGUAGGGUGCGAGCGUUGUCCGGAAUUAUUGGGCGUAAAGAGCUCGUAGGCGGUCUGUCGCGUCGGUCGUGAAAACUUGGGGCUUAACCCUGAGCUUGCGGUCGAUACGGGCAUGACUGGAGUUCGGCAGGGGAGACUGGAAUUCCUGGUGUAGCGGUGAAAUGCGCAGAUAUCAGGAGGAACACCGGUGGCGAAGGCGGCAUCCUGGACCGGUAUUGACGCUGAGGCGCGAAAGCUAGGGGAGCAAACGGG
RNAcentral lists this ribosomal RNA (254 nucleotides) under uncultured bacterium. Its description in RNAcentral is "partial 16S ribosomal RNA". It matches the Rfam family "Bacterial small subunit ribosomal RNA", at positions 524 to 776 of the family's 1533-position model. The record is from RNAcentral.